This 253-nucleotide ribosomal RNA is filed under the name uncultured bacterium. Its description in RNAcentral is "partial 16S ribosomal RNA". It matches the Rfam family "Bacterial small subunit ribosomal RNA", at positions 524 to 776 of the family's 1533-position model. The record is from RNAcentral.
UACGUAUGGAGCAAGCGUUAUCCGGGUUUACUGGGUGUAAAGGGAGCGUAGGCGGCAUACCAAGCCUGAUGUGAAAACCCGGGGCCCAACCCCGGGAGUGCAUUGGGAACUGGCAAGCUAGAGUGUCGGAGAGGCAGGCGGAAUUCCUAGUGUAGCGGUGAAAUGCGUAGAUAUUAGGAGGAACACCAGUGGCGAAGGCGGCCUGCUGGACGAUGACUGACGUUGAGGCUCGAAAGCGUGGGGAGCAAACAGG